This 501-nucleotide ribosomal RNA is filed under the name uncultured bacterium. Its description in RNAcentral is "partial 16S ribosomal RNA". It matches the Rfam family "Bacterial small subunit ribosomal RNA", at positions 30 to 523 of the family's 1533-position model. The record is from RNAcentral.
AUUGAACGCUGGCGGAAUGCUUUACACAUGCAAGUCGAACGGCAGCAUAGGUGCUUGCACCUGAUGGCGAGUGGCGAACGGGUGAGUAAUACAUCGGAACGUGCCCAGUCGUGGGGGAUAACGUAGCGAAAGUUACGCUAAUACCGCAUACGAUCUAAGGAUGAAAGCGGGGGACCGUAAGGCCUCGCGCGAUUGGAGCGGCCGAUGUCAGAUUAGGUAGUUGGUGGGGUAAAGGCCACCAAGCCAACGAUCUGUAGCUGGUCUGAGAGGACGACCAGCCACAUUGGGACUGAGACACGGCCCAGACUCCUACGGGAGGCAGCAGUGGGGAAUUUUGGACAAUGGGCGCAAGCCUGAUCCAGCCAUUCCGCGUGCAGGACGAAGGCCUUCGGGUUGUAAACUGCUUUUGUACGGAGCGAAAAGCCUUGGGUUAAUACCUCGAGGUCAUGACGGUACCGUAAGAAUAAGCACCGGCUAACUACGUGCCAGCCGCCGCGGUAA